GAAACGUCGUCGUCCCUUUACUUUCUAGUGUGUGUGGUUUGGUCAACACUCAAGUUUACUCUCGCUAAAAUUACAGGCCGAAAAGGAACGUAGUAAUUCCUUAUCUGUUCUUUCAGAACACAUCAAGCAGUUCCUUCAAGACGAGUAUCACUCGUGUCCUUCCUAAGCCUUGAGGGGCCAAUAUCCUUCAUCUGGGAGUACGGAAAACAUGCAGGAAGGUCGUUCGAGAGCCGUGUUCCCAGCAAGACUGCACCCGACCACACACCACAGUCAUACUCCAGACACAACGAAUCAGACACAGCUAACUCUUGCUAUAACGAUCGAGCAUCGACUUUUGGAUAAUCUUCCCACCAGAGUGUGUGUGUGCAGACAGCUCUUUUUUUCCCCCUAGCGAACAUUAACAAAUCUCUGCUUGGCUCUCAACCUACUGACGCUCUCCUGAAUUCAAGAACUCAAGGUUACUGCAGCUUAGCCACUUGCUCGACACUUUGAUGUGGUGCGCCACGCCUCAAGAUGCCAAGUGUCUGGAGAGCCUAGACAAUAAGGUGGUAAAUUCUCCGCGAGCUGGCACUGCUCUCCAGCCUGGGAUGUUGAUUGGUUAGUCUUC
Procambarus clarkii (red swamp crayfish) is the source of this 607-nucleotide non-coding RNA. The record is from RefSeq and is a predicted model, not a curated record. NCBI's taxonomy places the organism in Eukaryota, Metazoa, Arthropoda, Malacostraca, Decapoda, Cambaridae.